RNAcentral lists this microRNA precursor (125 nucleotides) under Brassica napus (rape). Its description in RNAcentral is "MIR9563 microRNA precursor family". It matches the Rfam family "MIR9563 microRNA precursor family". Lineage: Eukaryota; Viridiplantae; Streptophyta; Magnoliopsida; Brassicales; Brassicaceae. RNAcentral also lists the same sequence under 1 other name. The record is from Rfam by way of RNAcentral.
GGAAGUUAAAAAAUUGUUUCUUAACUUUUAACUAAAAAAACUAAGAACUGGUUCUUAAAUAAGGACUUUAAGAACCGGUUCUUAACUUUUUUAAUUAAAAGUUAAGAAACAGUUUCUUAACUUCC